UUUGGGGGGGGGCUCCUGUGCCAAUGAGGCGGGAGGAGUUCAGGAGCCCCCUCUCCAAGCCCUCCCACAGCCUGUCAGCAUGCUUCCAAACCCCUAGACACCCCGAGUCUAACAAAGGCCGCUGUGGGAGCCCAGCAGGU
This is a long non-coding RNA of Dipodomys spectabilis (banner-tailed kangaroo rat), 140 nucleotides long. RefSeq lists it as uncharacterized. Lineage: Eukaryota; Metazoa; Chordata; Mammalia; Rodentia; Heteromyidae. The record is from RefSeq and is a predicted model, not a curated record. The transcript has 4 exons.